GCAGGGGUAGCAAAGCCUGGUCAAACGCGCUAGCUUGAGGGGCUAGUCACUUAGGUGUUCGUGGGUUCAAAUCCCUCCCCCUGCA
This 85-nucleotide transfer RNA is filed under the name Candidatus Micrarchaeota archaeon CG10_big_fil_rev_8_21_14_0_10_45_29. RNAcentral describes it as "tRNA-Leu". It matches the Rfam family "tRNA". Rfam says of the family: Transfer RNA (tRNA) molecules are approximately 80 nucleotides in length. Their secondary structure includes four short double-helical elements and three loops (D, anti-codon, and T loops). Lineage: Archaea; Nanobdellati; Microcaldota. The record is from RNAcentral.